RNAcentral lists this ribosomal RNA (137 nucleotides) under uncultured bacterium. RNAcentral's name for it is "partial 16S ribosomal RNA". It matches the Rfam family "Bacterial small subunit ribosomal RNA", at positions 357 to 511 of the family's 1533-position model. The record is from RNAcentral.
GGGAAUAUUGGACAAUGGGCGAAAGCCUGAUCCAGCAAUGCCGCGUGUGUGAAGAAGGUCUUCGGAUUGUAAAGCACUUUCGACGGGGACGAUGAUGACGGUACCCGUAGAAGAAGCCCCGGCUAACUUCGUGUCAG